GAUGAAGAACGCAGCAAAAUGCGAUAAGUAAUGUGAAUAGCAGAAUUCAGUGAAUCAUCGAAUCUUUGAACGCACAUUGCGCCCGCUGGUAUUCCGGCGGGCAUGCCUGUUCGAGCGUCAUUUCAACCCUCAAGCCCCCGGGUUUGGUGUUGGGGAUCGGCUCUGCCCUUCUGGGCGGUGCCGCCCCCGAAAUACAUUGGCGGUCUCGCUGCAGCCUCCAUUGCGUAGUAGCUAACACCUCGCAACUGGAACGCGGCGCGGCCAUGCCGUAAAACCCCAACUUCUGAAUGUUGACCUCGGAUCAGGUAGGAAUACCCGCUGAACUUAAGCAUAUCAAUAAGCGGAGGA
RNAcentral lists this unclassified non-coding RNA (348 nucleotides) under soil metagenome. RNAcentral describes it as "partial contains 5.8S ribosomal RNA, internal transcribed spacer 2, and large subunit ribosomal RNA". The stretch from base 1 to 120 matches the Rfam family "5.8S ribosomal RNA", at positions 35 to 154 of the family's 154-position model. The record is from RNAcentral.